CCUUUUCUCUACUCUUUUC
RNAcentral lists this non-coding RNA (19 nucleotides) under Arabidopsis thaliana (thale cress). The record is from RNAcentral. Lineage: Eukaryota; Viridiplantae; Streptophyta; Magnoliopsida; Brassicales; Brassicaceae.